This 325-nucleotide long non-coding RNA is filed under the name Elaeis guineensis (African oil palm). Its description in RNAcentral is "long non-coding RNA (EGUI_LNC004000)". The record is from RNAcentral. Lineage: Eukaryota; Viridiplantae; Streptophyta; Magnoliopsida; Arecales; Arecaceae.
CCCCUACUUUCCCUCAUAGACAGGUCCUUUUCUGGACAAAUUCUUUCCUUACCUUGACCAUGAAGCGCCAUGGGAUAACCUUUUCCCAUUCUGCUCUUGCUUGCCAUGGUAAAGUUCAAACUUCCUCCCACCUUGUCAUUGCAUCUUGUGUGGUCUACUGCAUUAAACUAUGGACAAAGUAAAUUAUGAUGUUAUAUUUGCUACCAGAAUAGAUGUUAGCAAUGGAAAUUUAAGAAGAAUUUUAAAUGCCAAAAUGGAACAAACCUUUUCCCUGGCUGCCAACCGUUUCAUUACUUGGCAAGUCAGGCUGUGACAUUCUCAUCUC